CCAGGCCUUUUUCUUCAUUCAGCCCGUUCCAACUCAUUUUCCAGCGACCCAUGCCGAAUUCCGACUCCUCCGACCCGCGCCCGUACCCGACCCAUUACCUUAUCCCGUUCCCCCUCUUUGAAGUUGAAAGCGUCUUCCAAAAGAACCCAGUACUAUUCCAAUAUUAUCAGCAGCAUCCAACGCGUGAAAGUCCAGACUCCCAACAACCGUCAAACGCAAGUGAGAUGCCCAACGCGCACCGCUCAGUUCCAGCGAACGGCGAGUUCACAGAAAGGAAGCAAGAGACGCGGAGCUCUGCCUUUCGUCGUUUUCCCCGUCAUCCCUUUUUCGUACGAGCAGAAGAUAAUCGUCUUCCCAGUAUGAGAUUACUCCACGUCGCCUGCCAAGGACGGGAAAGAUUGGUUAAGAAAUUGGUUGGAGACUAUUGAGUUGGAAACUUUGAACUAAGGAAAAGAGAACAACAUAAACGAAUAGUUGUAAAAUACAUCCGAAAAGGGAGUGAAGAGUUCCUCGUUGGCAGUUGACACCCGACUUUGUAGUGGUGGAAUCAUCCUUUCAAGCUCGUUUGGUUCCAAGUUUGCUGCACUAGAAAAGGUAACCUCUUCCCCCUUACUAAGUUCUUCUGUGUUUGUCUUUUGAUUUUGAUUUUUGUGAUCAUGUUGUUUGGUUGAUUUUGCUGAUUUCCUUAAUGGAAAUUGAGUUGUAGUUUUCAGCAUUUAAAUAUAGGUGAAUGUCACUCCUCAUGCCAAUAAGAAUAUUUUGUUAUGUCAUCGAUCUAGUUAAGCUUGUUUGGAUUGAAUCUUUCCUGUUCAAUCUAAGGUUAUUUAUUAUUUGAAUAUUUUUGAUGUUGUACGGCUCGCUUUCAUUAUGUGCUCAUAUAUGAUUUUGCGUUUAGUCAAGGUUUCGUCAAGUUUCUCGUCUCAACUGAUUUGAUUCGAAUGCAUGGUUUAACUGUUAUCUUAUAUGCUUUUAUUGCUUUAUGGGUUCAUAUUGUGUCUACUUUCCUCAUGGUUUGGUUAAAUCACAUUUUGAGUUAAAUAUACAUGCAAGUUGAGAAUCGACUAAAAGCUUGUUAGUAGCAUCACUGGUUUCUUAUUUUUGUUAAUAAUGGAGGACGCAUUUCUUUUUACUUAUGAUAAGGUUUAUUCUGAAAUUGUUUGGCUGCAUUCUUGAUCUCGUUCGAAUGAUUUUACGGUAUUCGAGAUGGUUUUAAGUUCGUUUUCUAUCGAGAAUAUGUCACUCAUUUUAGGCUUAGUUUUAUGCCGGUUGAAUUCUCCUUCGGGAGUUUAACAAUUUUAAGGCUGAUUCUUUUUAAUCCAUUUUGUUUUGGUUUUAAAUGCUUACCCAGUUGCUUGGACAAUUGUAUUAAACCUUAAGAUGUCUCUACUGCCUUGGCUGGUUGUGCUCCCUUUCUUGAAGUUUUUUCUUUUGGAAAAAAAUUGUUAAAAGUAGAUAAAGAAAAUUCAUCCCUUUACUCUCGUUGUUCAUUUUGGUUUGUUUUUUUUUUAAAAAAAAAAGGGAAAAUAAAAAUAUAUGAAAAACGAUGGUAUAUAUAUAUGCUAUCUAUGUCUAUCGCUUUAUUCUUGUUUUUCUUUUGAAAUGUUUAGUGUAUUUGCAAAAGGGAUUGGUACAAAACGAGCUCUUUGUUUAUUUUACUUAUUUAUUUUUUAUUUUUUUUAAAUUCGACUUUCGCUAGACUUAGUCAUUAAGGUUGUUUGGAGCAUGAUUUCUUUAGGGCAUCAAUCUCAGGAAUCCUCCAUUCCAAUUUUAAGGUCUAUGGCUUUGUUUGUUCAUAUUUGCAUAUAUGAUUAAUGAUUCAUUUAAUGGCACGUCAACAUGAUAACACAUGGCAGGUCUAAAAUAUGGGAUUUGUUCAUUUCACAUAUGUCCAAUGUUUAACUUAUCCGUUAGUCUUAAUUUUGUUCUAAUGAGCAUGUGGUACAAAUUUUAUCAUAUAUAUAUAUAGGAAUUUUCGUCCCUUCUCAUCAUGGUAGUGGCUAGAGUAAUUGUCCAGGUCAUCUAAGUUGCUAGAUUAAUCUUUAAACGCAUCAUCAUAUUUUGCUAUGUUAAGUUAUCGAUCACCAUAAUGUUUCUCAAUUAUUUUAUAGAAAUGUAUUAGUCUUUCUCAUCAGCCUUUCUCAUCCCAUGCUAAUGUGAUUGUAUUUAUGUUUGGCAUGUAAAAUUUCCCCGGGAUUCACCACGAAUCCAUCCUCAAGCAUAUUGAGUGGGCCACGAAGGCCCCAAAAUUCCUUACUCGAGUCAAUUAUCCCAUAAAAUUGAUGAACAGAUCGCGGAGUCAAAAUUUUAAGAAGUCGGGAAUUUGAAGAAUUUGGGUCGAAAGGAGCUCUUUUAUUUAUUUUUCUAUUUUUGCAUUUUAUUAUCUUUGGGCCUAAGCCCUCAUUGUAUUAUUAUUACCUUGAAUAGUUUAGGACAGGUACAAAUUGAGUGGGCUUAAGUCCCAUAAACAAGCGGUUCAAAUACUGAUCCAGGCGGACAAAAAUUAGAUUUGGAUUCAACUC
This is a long non-coding RNA of Solanum pennellii, 2519 nucleotides long. RefSeq lists it as uncharacterized. The transcript has 2 exons. NCBI's taxonomy places the organism in Eukaryota, Viridiplantae, Streptophyta, Magnoliopsida, Solanales, Solanaceae. The record is from RefSeq and is a predicted model, not a curated record.